AACCAGUUAAGCUCAACUGACUUAUCACCUCUCUCAUGGGAGCUCAGUAUGCAAUGACUGCAAAAAGCAGAUUCCCUAGUUGUGUAUAGAGCUCAUUGUGUUGUUUUAAGGGAACUUGAAGACAUCA
This is a small nucleolar RNA of Sciurus vulgaris (Eurasian red squirrel), 127 nucleotides long. Its record names the gene SNORA70. It matches the Rfam family "Small nucleolar RNA SNORA70". Rfam says of the family: snoRNA U70 seems to be exclusive to mammals and is a member of the H/ACA class of snoRNA which contain H (ANANNA) and ACA box motifs. The record is from Ensembl. NCBI's taxonomy places the organism in Eukaryota, Metazoa, Chordata, Mammalia, Rodentia, Sciuridae.